CAUUACUGAGUGAGGGCCCUCUGGGUCCAACCUCCCACCCGUGUUUAUUGUACCUUGUUGCUUCGGCAGGCCCGCCUCACGGCCGCCGGGGGGCUUUCCGCCCCCGGGCCCGCGCCUGCCGGAGACAAUCUUGAACGCUGUCUGAAGAAUGCAGUCUGAGCGAUUAAGCAAAAUUAGUUAAAACUUUCAACAACGGAUCUCUUGGUUCCGGCAUCGAUGAAGAACGCAGCGAAAUGCGAUAAUUAAUGUGAAUUGCAGAAUUCAGUGAAUCAUCGAGUCUUUGAACGCACAUUGCGCCCCCUGGUAUUCCGGGGGGCAUGCCUGUCCGAGCGUCAUUGCUGCCCUCAAGCCCGGCUUGUGUGUUGGGCCCUGUUCCCCCGGGAACAGGCCCGAAAGGCAGUGGCGGCACCGCGUCCGAUCCUCGAGCGUAUGGGGCUUUGUCACCCGCUCUGUAGGCCCGGCCGGCGCUUGCCCCCCAUCAAUCUUGUUUUUCAGGUUGACCUCGGAUCAGGUAGGGAUACCCGCUGAACUUAAGCAUAUCAA
RNAcentral lists this ribosomal RNA (543 nucleotides) under Penicillium guanacastense. RNAcentral's name for it is "eukaryotic LSU rRNA". The stretch from base 182 to 335 matches the Rfam family "5.8S ribosomal RNA". Lineage: Eukaryota; Fungi; Ascomycota; Eurotiomycetes; Eurotiales; Aspergillaceae. The record is from RNAcentral.